GGUAGGAUGGUCGAAAAUAGGCGGGAGGUUGUAAACCUUCAUAUGGGGGCUAUUCCCCUCCUAUCA
This 66-nucleotide transfer RNA is filed under the name Phoenicolacerta kulzeri (common Eurasian lizard). Its description in RNAcentral is "tRNA-Tyr". Lineage: Eukaryota; Metazoa; Chordata; Lepidosauria; Squamata; Lacertidae. The record is from RNAcentral.